CGGGCUUGUAAGUCAGUGGUGAAAUACUGCCGCUUAACGGUAGAAUUGCCAUUGAUACUGCGAGUCUUGAGUAUGGUUGAGGUAGGCGGAAUGUGCAGUGUAGCGGUGAAAUGCAUAGAGAUUGCACAGAACACCGAUUGCGGAGGCAGCUUACUAAGCCAUAACUGACGCUGAGGCACGAAAGCGUGGGGAGCGAACAGGAUUAGAUACCCUGGUAGUCCACGCUGUAAACGAUGUUCACUCGCUGUUUGCGAUACACAGUAAGCGGCUUAGCGAAAGCAUUAAGUGAACCACCUGGGGAGUACGAUCGCAAGGUUGAAACUCAAAGGAAUUGACGGGGGCCCGCACAAGCGGAGGAACAUGUGGUUUAAUUCGAUGAUACGCGAGGAACCUUACCUGGGCUUAAAUGUAGGCUGCAUUUCCGGGAAACCGGGAUUCCCUUCGGGGCUGCUUACAAGGUGCUGCAUGGUUGUCGUCAGCUCGUGCCGUGAGGUGUCGGGUUAAGUCCCAUAACGAGCGCAACCCUUAUCGUUAGUUGCUAGCAGGUAAAGCUGAGGACUCUAGCGAGACUGCCACCGUAAGGUGAGAGGAAGGUGGGGAUGACGUCAAAUCAGCACGGCCCUUAUGUCCAGGGCUACACACGUGCUACAAUGGCCGGUACAGAGGGAAGCUACCUGGUGACAGGUUGCCAAUCUUAAAAGCCGGUCUCAGUUCGGAUUGGAGUCUGCAACCCGACUCCAUGAAGUUGGAUUCGCUAGUAAUCGCGCAUCAGCCAUGGCGCGGUGAAUACGUUCCCGGGCCUUGUACACGCCGCCCGUCAAAC
This 823-nucleotide ribosomal RNA is filed under the name uncultured Bacteroidota bacterium. Its description in RNAcentral is "bacterial SSU rRNA". It matches the Rfam family "Bacterial small subunit ribosomal RNA", at positions 576 to 1402 of the family's 1533-position model. Lineage: Bacteria; Pseudomonadati; Bacteroidota. The record is from RNAcentral.